GCCAUGCANGUCUAAGUACAUACUGUUCUAAAGUGAAACCGCGAAUGGCUCAUUAAAUCAGUUACGGUUCCUCGGAUAUUCCAUUUUACAUGGAUAACUGUGGUAAUUCUAGAGCUAAUACAUGCACCAAAACUUCAACCCCGGUUCUGGCUAGUGGCUAGGCAACUAGUCAUCCAGGAUUUGGCGGAAGAAGCGUAUUUAUUAGACCAAGACCAAUGUUCCUUAUUCACCCAGGACCCUCUCUUAGUACGGCUAGUUAAUUUCGGUUAGCUGGUGUCGGCUAGGAUGAAGACCUGGCAGUGGGGAUCUAAGUAGUACAUUCGUGUGCUACGAUUACUGGUAUGGUGACUCUGAAUAACUGAGCAAAUCGUAUGGCCACCGUGCCGACGAUGUAUCCCUCAAGCAACUGCCUUAUCAACUUUCGAUGGUAGGUUAUGCGCCUACCAUGGUUGUAACGGGUAACGGGGAAUCAGGGUUCGAUUCCGGAGAGGGAGCCUGAGAAACGGCUACCACAUCCAAGGAAGGCAGCAGGCGCGCAAAUUACCCACUCCCGGCACGGGGAGGUAGUGACGAAAAAUAACAAUAUGGAACUCUUUUGGGUCUCCAUAAUUGGAAUGAGUACAAUUUAAAUCCUUUAAUGAGGAUCUAUUGGAGGGCAAGUCUGGUGCCAGCAGCCGCGGUAAUUCCAGCUCCAAUAGCGUAUAUUAAAGUUGUUGCGGUUAAAAAGCUCGUAGUUGGAUUUCAGUCCAACCUAUGGGGUCCACUGAAAAAGGGUAUGUUUAGUGUAAGCAGGUUGGUUACUUCUACACGGAGUACCUCCUCUUGCCUAGCUUAUCUGGUGGUUACUACCAUAGUUGUUGGACACAAUCGUGCCCGAUUUCUGCUUCUAAUGCUCUUCAUUGAGUGUUAGUUUAAGCGAUCGGGACUUUUACCUUGAAAAAAUUAGAGUGCUCAAAGCAGGCGUACCAAACCUCGAAAGAGGUGCCUAAAAUGGGUAUGGUCAGCUCUUGUACAUCUUUCGGGAUCGUCGAGAGUGUUGCCAUUCCUUACCUUGAAUAAUCUUGCAUGGAAUAAUGGAAUAGGACCUCGAUUCUAUUUUGUUGGUCUUCGGAAUCUGAGGUAAUGAUUAAGAGGGACAGACGGGGGCAUUCGUAUUGCGACGCUAGAGGUGAAAUUCUUGGACCGUCGCAAGACGAACUACAGCGAAAGCAUUUGCCAAGAAUGUUUUCAUUAAUCAAGAACGAAAGUUAGAGGUUCGAAGGCGAUCAGAUACCGCCCUAGUUCUAACCAUAAACGAUGCCAACCAGCGAUCAGCCUGAGUUUUUUCCUAAUGACUCGGCUGGCAGCUUCCGGGAAACCAAAGUUUUUGGGUUCCGGGGGAAGUAUGGUUGCAAAGCUGAAACUUAAAGGAAUUGACGGAAGGGCACCACCAGGAGUGGAGCCUGCGGCUUAAUUUGACUCAACACGGGAAAACUCACCCGGCCCGGACACUGAGAGGAUUGACAGAUUGAGAGCUCUUUCUUGAUUCAGUGGGUGGUGGUGCAUGGCCGUUCUUAGUUGGUGGAGCGAUUUGUCUGGUUAAUUCCGAUAACGAACGAGACUCUAGCCUACUAAAUAGACUUGCGAUUUUCCCUGGAUGUUUGCCUACUCGGGUGGCCUUAGGGGUAGGGUGUGUGCAUGCGGUAUGGCAACAUAUCGUAUGUUAUGCGCUUUGCCAUUAACUUAAGGUGUCUCCGGGAUAGGUUGCUCCAGCAUCGCAAGGGCUUCUUAGAGGGACAAGCGGCGCACGCAGCCGCACGAAACAGAGCAAUAACAGGUCUGUGAUGCCCUUAGAUGUCCGGGGCCGCACGCGCGCUACACUGAAGUGGCCAUCGUGCUUUAACAAUCCUGCUCCGAAAGGAGUGGGUAACCCCUUCAAACCAUUUCGUGAUUUGGGAUUGGGCAUUGUAAUUAUUGCCCAUGAACGAGGAAUUCCCAGUAAGCGUGAGUCAUAAGCUUGCGUUGAUUACGUCCCUGCCCUUUGUACACACCGCCCGUCGCUACUACCGAUUGAAUGAUUUAGUGAGGACUUCGGACCGGUCAGCCCAUACCUAGGGGCAACUCUUGGUCGGUUGUUCUAGAAAGAUGUUCAAACUUGAUCAUUUAGAGGAAGUA
This 2154-nucleotide ribosomal RNA is filed under the name Tenuipalpus heveae. RNAcentral's name for it is "SSU rRNA". It matches the Rfam family "Eukaryotic small subunit ribosomal RNA". The record is from RNAcentral. Lineage: Eukaryota; Metazoa; Arthropoda; Arachnida; Trombidiformes; Tenuipalpidae.